ACGAACGCUAGCGGCGUGCUUAACACAUGCAAGUCGAACGGAAAGGCCCUGCUUGCAGGGUACUCGAGUGGCGAACGGGUGAGUAACACGUGGGUGAUCUGCCCUGCACUUCGGGAUAAGCCUGGGAAACUGGGUCUAAUACCGGAUAGGAGCCAUUUUUAGUGUGAUGGUUGGAAAGUUUUUUCGGUGUAGGAUGAGCUCGCGGCCUAUCAGCUUGUUGGUGGGGUAAUGGCCUACCAAGGCGGCGACGGGUAGCCGGCCUGAGAGGGUGGACGGCCACAUUGGGACUGAGAUACGGCCCAGACUCCUACGGGAGGCAGCAGUGGGGAAUAUUGCACAAUGGGCGCAAGCCUGAUGCAGCGACGCCGCGUGGGGGAUGACGGCCUUCGGGUUGUAAACUCCUUUCGCUAGGGACGAAGCUUUUUGUGACGGUACCUAGAUAAGAAGCACCGGCUAACUACGUG
Molecule: ribosomal RNA, 464 nt
Filed under: uncultured bacterium
Lineage: Bacteria
Description: partial 16S ribosomal RNA
Rfam family: Bacterial small subunit ribosomal RNA
Source: RNAcentral